This 253-nucleotide ribosomal RNA is filed under the name uncultured bacterium. RNAcentral's name for it is "partial 16S ribosomal RNA". It matches the Rfam family "Bacterial small subunit ribosomal RNA", at positions 524 to 776 of the family's 1533-position model. The record is from RNAcentral.
GACGAACCGUGCUAACGUUGUUCGGAAUCACUGGGCUUAAAGGGCGCGUAGGCGGCCGACCAAGUCGGGGGUGAAAUCUUUCGGCUUAACCGGAAAAGUGCCUUCGAUACUGGUUGGCUCGAGGGAGGUAGGGGCAGAUGGAACUUCCGGUGGAGCGGUGAAAUGUGUUGAUAUCGGAAGGAACGCCGGUGGCGAAAGCGAUCUGCUGGACCUCUACUGACGCUGAGGCGCGAAAGCCAGGGGAGCAAACGGG